This 397-nucleotide ribosomal RNA is filed under the name uncultured Pseudomonas sp. Its description in RNAcentral is "bacterial SSU rRNA". It matches the Rfam family "Bacterial small subunit ribosomal RNA", at positions 984 to 1382 of the family's 1533-position model. Lineage: Bacteria; Pseudomonadati; Pseudomonadota; Gammaproteobacteria; Pseudomonadales; Pseudomonadaceae. The record is from RNAcentral.
ACAUGCAGAGAACUUUCAGAGAUGGAUUGGUGCCUUCGGGAACUCUGACACAGGUGCUGCAUGGCUGUCGUCAGCUCGUGUCGUGAGAUGUUGGGUUAAGUCCGUAACGAGCGCAACCCUUGUCCUUAGUUACCAGCACGUUAUGGUGGGCACUCUAAGGAGACUGCCGGUGACAAACCGGAGGAAGGUGGGGAGUGACGUCAAGUCAUCAUGGCCUUACGGCCUGGGCUACACACGUGCUACAAUGGUCGGUACAAAGGGUUGCCAAGCCGCGAGGUGGAGCUAAUCCCAUAAAACCGAUCGUAGUCCGGAUCGCAGUCUGCAACUCGACUGCGUGAAGUCGGAAUCGCUAGUAAUCGUGAAUCAGAAUGUCACGGUGAAUACGUUCCCGGGCCUU